AACUUCUUGAAUCCGUGAUCAGAUUUCGUCAGACACCAACCCAUUAGGGCUGAUCAGACUUCCAAUAUAAGUGAGGUU
RNAcentral lists this microRNA precursor (78 nucleotides) under Schistosoma mattheei. Its description in RNAcentral is "mir-3492 microRNA precursor family". It matches the Rfam family "mir-3492 microRNA precursor family". Lineage: Eukaryota; Metazoa; Platyhelminthes; Trematoda; Strigeidida; Schistosomatidae. The record is from Rfam by way of RNAcentral.